Molecule: small RNA, 28 nt
Filed under: Bombyx mori (domestic silkworm)
Lineage: Eukaryota; Metazoa; Arthropoda; Insecta; Lepidoptera; Bombycidae
Description: ovarian small RNA-37043
Source: RNAcentral
UUCAUACAUAGGUGGCUGCAUCAUGUAA